This 3324-nucleotide long non-coding RNA is filed under the name Fragaria vesca (wild strawberry). RNAcentral describes it as "long non-coding RNA (FVES_LNC002686)". Lineage: Eukaryota; Viridiplantae; Streptophyta; Magnoliopsida; Rosales; Rosaceae. The record is from RNAcentral.
UACAAGGUUGGCUAGGGCUUUCAACCCUAGCCUCAACAAAAUCAAUACUCACUCAUAACACGAUAUACAAAUUCCAACAUCAUAAAAUACAUCUAAACAAAGAGCAAGGGAGUUAGAAGUGACUAUUGAUAGAAAUUGUCAAGACCCACCCCGGAUUUCCUCUUGAAAUCCGAGACACUACAAAAAUUAAUUCAGUUAACCACGGCAAAAUGCCGUCGCCAAAAGUCAUUCUGUCGUCGCAAAAGACCAACGACGACAGCGUGGCGACGACAUUUUUCCGGUCGCCGUUGAGGGCGUGGCCGUUGCUUUUGGCGACGGCAGUGAGCCGUCACAACCAUGUUUGCGAAGGUAAAUAGCGACUGUAAAGACCGUCGCUUGAUUAGCGACGGAAAUUGGCUACUGAACUUGCCGUCGCAAAUACCUCUAUUGGGCCGUCGCUGUGAUAUUUAAAAAAAUUCAGAUCUGAACUGAAAUUUUUGAAUUUUCCCACCAAAACCAUUUGCGACAGGACUCUGCCGUCGCCAACUGCAGAAAUUGUUACCACAACUAUUUCAAAUCUCAUUUUUACCAGAAAUCUGCAAAUUCAAAUCUCAUUCAAUCCACAAUAGCAACAACCAUAAUCAACAAGGUACUAACACCACCAUCAACGAGCAUUCAUUCCAACAAAAUUAACACAAUGACCAACAUUCAUUUCAUAACCAAAUUAUCCAACAUAAACAUUAUUCCACAUGAUGGAACCUAAACCAAACCAACAAAGUGCUACAACAAUAAAAAGAGCUUCAUAAAGGGACAACAAUAUUCCAACAUAAUCUUGUUCUAACACAUUCUAAAACACAACAAUAUGACAUAAACCUAAAUCAUGCAGGAGGAUCAUGGUGACCAGUGACAUCAUCAGAAGUUGAAUCAAAAUGGGUAGUGGCCUCAGGAUCUCCCUCUCCUAUGGACUCCCUCCUAGCCUCAUGGCCACUUGUUGCAUCAGCUGGUACCUAUUGCAUAAAUGAGACCAUUUUCUACAAUUAGUUGUCUGAUUUGAAGUGAAAGGUGAAAACAAAAACCUAUUGCAUGCUCAAGCAUUGACCCUAAUGCUUAAAACCAUAUCUAGAUUCAAGCACCUUCACCCUAAUUCAUACUAAACCAUACUUCAAAAAUAUUCAUAAUAAAAAAAAAGGGCAAUUUCCAUUACUUAUCAUGUUUGUUCUGUAUAGUACCAUUUCCCCACACACAUGAAGAAACUAAGGGGAUUAAUAUUUCACAUACUAUGUGCUAAGUGAAAAAUGUUGUAGACUAACACUAACACAUGUGAACUUACAGAUACAUGUAUUUGAAUAAUCGAGCUGCAAUAGGAGGGGAACAUAGACUUGACAAUGACCUUAUUAUGAGAAUAGAGAGAAAGCGAGCAAGCCUGUGAAUCUAAGGGGUCAGCUUCACGUGAAACAAGAUGUUGCAGACUAACAAUAACAUUGGAAGCAGCCAAGAUAGGAUCUAUUGUGUGCUGUGGAAUUGCAGCACGACCCCCCUUCCCACUUAUCAAGGCUUCAAAAAAUCCACUUGCAGCCAUUAUAGGGCCAGGUUUGGAGGCUACUGAACCAAUGGGAUGGUCAGAAGCAAGAUGCAACCCAAAGAUGGCACUGACAUGCUCCAGUGCCCCGUCUUCUAUUAUUUUCUUUGCUCCUACACCUCCUUCCUCAGCUAGUUGGAAAACAAGAACAACAGUCCCCUGUAUGAAAACAAGAAACAAGUGAGAGAACUUUCUUCAGAACAUAAGAAGAUAUACACAAUGACAUUGCACAAAGUGUCAUACUUAUUAUUCAAGAAGCCUACUUAGAGAAUGCACACACUUUGCAAUCUAUAGAUUAAGCUAGUGUAUCAACUCUUAUAGCUGGCCACAUCAAAAUGUAGUUCCAAUAUGGACUCCAAAACUCUGCAAAUUUCAGUAUGAAAGGUCAUUUUCUAUCGCUCUUUGUCUUUUUUAUUAGUUAAAGGUUGUUUGCAGUCAGAUAGAUGACAUAACAAGUCGACAUAUAAUUCUAGUAGACAGCUAGACCAAGAGCCUAUUGUAGACAACCCCAAGGCAUAAUAAUCUCCCUAACCUCACCUCCACGCUCAUACGCUGGAACUUUCCAAAUCUGACCAUAUAUAGUUUUAAAUAUUUACAUUUUAGCCUUGAUGUUCUGUUUAAAGACAACUACUUUCAAACCUACAAUUGCUAUAUAAAGUAACAGAAGUCCAUAAGAACAGGAACUGAUGCAACACAUGGAAUAACAAACCUAAAAACCCAACUUUACAAUGAAACCACUCUUCUAAACACAAUGCAUAGAAUUCAAACCAGGAAAGAGACCUAUAAUUUGUGGCGAUACUCUUGAAGUAAACUAGCAGCUCCAAGAAGCAUGGCAACAUGACCAUCAUGUCCACAUCCAUGCAUCUUCCCUACAACUUUACUCUUGUGCUCCCCCACUCCACACUCUCCUGCCAUAGUAAAAAUAAUACAGUAAUUAUUCCAAUCUACCUCAACCUCAAACCAAUAGUAACUAACAACAUUACAACACUGACCAAAUUGACAAAAGUAAGCACUAUAAAAAGAUAUCAGAUACUCAAAAAGCUUCAAACUUUAACAUAAUUUUUUUCACAGAAUACCCAGUUGGCCUUAUAGCAUAUGGAUGAACCAGUGAGGAUGAAAAAUUUAGGUGUAAAGCACUGAUAAGCACAUCUAUUCACAAAUGUAGAUAAUUGCAUGAAGCCAAUGUGAGGUUCUAGUGUUCAACUACCUUACCAGUUUUGCGAAAUUACCCGCUGUUAAUGGUGCUGAAUAACUAUCUAUAACAACCUGUACACAUUUUACUGAUCAGUUUUGGACAUUAAAUAUUUUCAAAGUAAAUUUGGGUGCCAUGCAUACAUUUUACAUUUGGAAAUAUCAAAUUUUUGUGUGAAAGAGAGAGAGAGAGAGAGAGNNNNNNNNNNNNNNNNNNNNGCCGUUGCAAAUACCUCUAUUGGCGACCGCAAUCGCCGUCGCUGUGAUAUUUAAAAAUUCAGAUCUGAAACUGUAAAUUUUUGAAUUUCCCACCAAAAUCAUUUGUGACGGGACUCUGCCAUCGCCAACUGCAGAAAUUGUUACCACAACUGUUUCAAAUCUCAUUUUUACCAGAAACCUGCAAAUUCAAAUCUCAUUUAAUCCACAAUAGCAACAACCAUAAUCAACAAGGUACUAACACCACCAUCAACUAGCAUUCAUUCCAACAAAAUCAACACAAUGACCAAAAUUCAUUUCAUAACCAAAUUAUCCAACAUAAACAUUAUUCCACAUGAUGGAACCUAAACCAAACCAAC